RNAcentral lists this long non-coding RNA (1124 nucleotides) under Androctonus crassicauda. The record is from RNAcentral. Lineage: Eukaryota; Metazoa; Arthropoda; Arachnida; Scorpiones; Buthidae.
UUAACGUUAUAAAAUAUUUUUUUCUUAUAUAUAUAUAUAACAUUUGAUAAAAUAAUUUUUAAAUGGUAAAAUCUUAAUUUUAAAUUCUGUGAGACUAUGUCUGGGUUUUGGAUAAUCAUUGGCUAUGACUGGCUAGUCAGCUGUUUAUUUUGCCCUUUAUUUGAUUUUCAUACUAUUGGUAUUUAUCUGAAGAUAAUGCAGUAUUCUGAAAAUUGCUGUCUUUUUAAUUUGAUCAUAAAAUUGAAUGUACCUAGUGAAAAUUACAUUAAAUUUUAUUUUCAGAUGACUUUUGUUGUUACUCUGUCUCAUUAAAUAUUUAUACUCUUCUUUAAGUUUGUUCAUACUUGCGCAUUCUUUUAUUACUAAUUUUAGAUUUAAAUUUUAUGGAUUAUUAUGUGGCACCAAUUGGUUUAAUAACAAACUAAAACAAAAAUUACACAUGUACAAUACUUGGAUCUGCAAUCUACCUGAGUAUUAUGUUUCUGCUCAACUAUAAUACAUUCAAAGAGCUAACUGAUCUAAUCAAAUAAAAUAUUGAUAAAUAUUGAAGUGAAGAAAAUUUGAAACUCCGUUCAGUCCAGGCUAAUUCCAGAUGUAUGGCAAGUCUAUGCAUGAGAGAGAAAGAGAGAAAAUAAGAUGGAACUUGUAGUAGUUACAGAAGCCUUAAUAUUCAGGUUUACUCAUCCUGAAUAUUAAGGCUUUAUUUAUAUGUGACAAUUGUACUCUCAACCAAUUCUAAAUAAGGUAACCACUGAAUAUAACAAUGUUUUUAAAUUAAGAAUUGAGCUUUGAAGAAAGAUUUAUUCAUUAAAUAAUACUUUAUCUGAAAUGCAUCAUAUUAUUAAUCAGCAGGACUGCUAUAUCCAAAAAUCUAUUAAUACUUUUAAUUCUGUUAAAAUAUUAAUAUGUCUCAGUUUAAUUCAAAGAAAAAUGAAUUUAUAUCUGUUGGGAAAUACAAGACUUAUUCUGCAAAUUCUUUUUUUUAUUUGAACAUCUCAUAUCUAUAAUAAAAUUGAGUAUUUUAUUGUCUCUCAUCUAUAUUUUUUUGUUUGUUGUUUAACUUCCAUAUUUAUUAUAAAAUUUAUGAAUUUUAAUUAUUUAUAUGCUGUUAUGAUAUAGAUUUG